RNAcentral lists this ribosomal RNA (430 nucleotides) under Pseudomonadota bacterium. RNAcentral's name for it is "Proteobacteria bacterium partial 16S ribosomal RNA". It matches the Rfam family "Bacterial small subunit ribosomal RNA", at positions 355 to 776 of the family's 1533-position model. The record is from RNAcentral. Lineage: Bacteria; Pseudomonadati; Pseudomonadota.
UGGGGAAUAUUGGACAAUGGGGGGAACCCUGAUCCAGCCAUGCCGCGUGUGUGAAGAAGGCCUUAUGGUUGUAAAGCACUUUAAGCGAGGAGGAGGGUACUGGUAUUAAUACUACUGGAUAGUGGACGUUACUCGCAGAAUAAGCACCGGCUAACUCUGUGCCAGCAGCCGCGGUAAUACAGAGGGUGCGAGCGUUAAUCGGAUUUACUGGGCGUAAAGCGUGCGUAGGCGGCUGAUUAAGUCGGAUGUGAAAUCCCUGAGCUUAACUUAGGAAUUGCAUUCGAUACUGGUCAGCUAGAGUAUGGGAGAGGAUGGUAGAAUUCCAGGUGUAGCGGUGAAAUGCGUAGAGAUCUGGAGGAAUACCGAUGGCGAAGGCAGCCAUCUGGCCUAACACUGACGCUGAGGUACGAAAGCAUGGGGAGCAAACAGG